AGCAGCCGCGGUAAUUCCAGCUCCAAUAGCGUAUAUUAAAGUUGUUGCAGGUUAAAAAGCUCGUAGUUGAAUUUCGGGAUCAGUAGGUCGGUCGUGCCACUGGUAUGAACUGGUCUCACUGGUUCCUCCCUCUUGACGAACUGCAAUGCUAUUAAUUUAGUGUAGUAGGAAAUCAGGACUGUUACUUUGAAAAAAUUAGAGUGUUUAAAGCAGGCUUUAGCUUGAAUACAUUAGCAUGGAAUAAUGAAAUAGGACGUUCGAUCCUAUUUUGUUGGCUUCUAGGAUUGACGUAAUGAUUAAUAGGGACAGUUGGGGGCAUUAGUAUUCAAUUGUCAGAGGUGAAAUUCUUGGAUUUAUUGAAGACUAACUACUGCGAAAGCAUUUGCCAAGGAUGUUUUCAUUAAUCAAGAACGAAAGUUAGGGGAUCGAAGACGAUCAGAUACCGUCGUAGUCUUAACCAUAAACUAUGCCGACUAGGGAUCGGAUGAUGUUAAUUUUUAAUGA
RNAcentral lists this ribosomal RNA (504 nucleotides) under uncultured Glomus. RNAcentral's name for it is "SSU rRNA". It matches the Rfam family "Eukaryotic small subunit ribosomal RNA", at positions 569 to 1074 of the family's 1831-position model. Lineage: Eukaryota; Fungi; Glomeromycota; Glomeromycetes; Glomerales; Glomeraceae. The record is from RNAcentral.